Non-coding RNA from Manis javanica (Malayan pangolin), 3138 nucleotides. NCBI's taxonomy places the organism in Eukaryota, Metazoa, Chordata, Mammalia, Pholidota, Manidae. The record is from RefSeq and is a predicted model, not a curated record.
GCAUAUUUGCUAUGUGUUGCUAUUAAUUUCAGAUGAUUUAAUUUGAAAUAAUCUAAAAGACAGCAUCUAAUACAAAUAUUUGUUUCCCCCACUUUCCCCACAAAGAAGGAUGGGAGGAGGAUGGGGGAAAGAAAAGGAACCAGCUUUCCCUCCUAACUCUUCUAGUUCUCUCAGGUAAUCUCUGAUUCAUACAAUUAGACUUUUAGGAACUGAAGGAAUCUCAGAGAUCAUUGAAAACAAUACCCAAUGUUUAUAGGUGAGAACUCUGAGGAAAGCAAAAUGACUUGACUAAAUUAAGCUAUUUAGGAUAAGAAAUGGAAGUAGAACCCAGACACUUAGAUUAGUACCCCAAACGCACUAAAUCUAAUCCUUUAGUUCUCAGUCCUAGUGGCACACUAGAUCUAAUCACCUGUGUACUUCUUUUUAAAAAUACACUUUUACUACCUCUGGAGUGAGAUCCAGGUGUGUAUUUUUAAAUUUCAAAUUGAUAAAGAGUCACCAAAUCCUGCGGAUUGUUCUGCGAUGUCAGGCUCCUUCCCUGCUUUCUGACCUCAUUUCCAUCUCCCCAGCCAAGCCCUAUUGGUCCAGGCCUGGCUCCUAUGCUUCCGGUUUUCCCCCUCAAUACAAGUUUGCCAUGUGAAAUUUUCCUAAAGCACUUCUCAACGUUUAGUGCAUAGAUGAGUCAACCAAGCUCAUGUGUAAGAGCUAACUCCUGGGUCUACUGUUUGCAAUUCUUAGUAGGUCUGGGGCAAAGCCUGGGAAUCUGCAUAUUUAACAUGCAAUGGAGAGGAGGUUGUUUCUCAUGCAAGUGGUCUAAGGAUGACAUCAUGAGAAACACUACUCCAGUAUAAUAUCUAUUAAUCCUCCUACAAAGCAUUCAGGCCCUAUGCCAUCAGCCCAUCCUCUUCCAUCUUGCUUUUCAUUUUCACUUCAUCCCAACUUGCCGUGCUCCCAGUAAAGCAUGUUCAACCUCAACCCCAACUCUACCUUCUUCCUGUAUUCUUGUUCCCUUUCCCAGGAAUUCUCCACUACUUUACCAUGCCUUCCUAUAUUAAUACAAUGCAUACAUCAAGGCCUAGUUCACUGUCUGCUUCUAUGAAAACUCCUCUUUCCUACAUUGAUUUCUCUUUCUUCAUGUCUAUAAAUGGUGUUAUUUUACAUAAUUUAUCACCUACACAACAUCCUAUGAAACUUCUGAGUGAAGCCCAUCUUAAUUGUGUAAGUUCUUAAGUAACAAGUCCAUAUCAUAUCUUUUUAAAACACUAAAACAUCUAGUAUUCCAGGAACAAAAUAGCUGCUUAGUAAAAUAUUUUUAAUUGGGUUGGAGAACUCAAUGAUUAAAUCUAAGUUGUGUUUAUUUGUUUUUGCAUUCAAAAAGAGUGAAGUAGAGUGUCUCAUAAGGUUUUUUCACAGCUUGGUGGAAAGUGCCAAUGUAAGAUGCAGUAAUUGGAUUAGAUCAUAACGUGUUUCGAGCAAUCCUACACAGCAUAUUUAGAAGGACUGAUGAUAGGCUGAUGAAAGGGGUAAGAAGUCAUAAGAGACUGAAGUGGGCCAAGCUAAGAUGGCAUAAAUAUAUUUAUAUAUAUUAAUAUAUGGCAAUAAAAUAUAUGCAAGUAUAUAUUUUAAAUGGAAAAUAUUAUAAGUAUAUUCAACUUUCAUCAAAAACUGAAUAUUUUAAUGCCAAGCUAGAAAGACAAAAUUCUAGUAAUGCUGCAGAUAUAAAGCAGUAGUUGAUUUGAUUGUGAAGAUAGUUUUUAAUAUAAACUCAUUCAGAAUUUCCUAUUUUAUAACUACCACUUUGAGAGAAAACCAUUAAUGAACUAAGUAACCUAGCAAAAUUGUUUUUUAAAAGGUAAGCAUAUGACUUUUAAUCAUGAUGUCUUUGGAUUCAUAUGCUAUAGACAUGUAAAUUAUUAAGUCACUUCUUUUCCCUUAUAAAAAUGAAGAAUAACAGUGCAAAAAAUAGUACUCGUUAUACUGGUAAAAUUAAAAGAUCAUAUGUUUAAAAUAGGAAAUUAUUUAAUGUGACCCAGUUUCACUAACAGAUUUUGUGUUUAUUGAUUAGUUUUGACAUUUCUAUACACCCUUGAAGCCAUACCAUAGUAAAAAUAAUUAACAUAUUCAUCAGCCUGAAAGAGUUGAUAAUAUUUUCUAUGCAAUAGUACAAAGAUUUCAUUGGUAUUUUUUUGAAAAUGUGUUAUUCAGUAAUUUAUCUUUAGGUAUUCUACAAAUUCUUCAGAACAGGAUUUUGCCACUCUUUUUUAGAAUAAAAAUAAUCACAUUGAUUAGCUCCACUGUUGAUCAUCUUGGUUCAUCUCAAGUUAAUCAUUGAUCAGGGAGGAGAAUGAUUAUUUUCUUUCUGUAAAAGUCUCGGGGACACAUUUACUGUUACUUUGACUCUUUCAAGGAAGAGUAUGCCAAAACCUUUUCUUACCCUCAAUUUGAUAGGAAAGAUUUUUAUCUGUUCAUGCAUACAUACAUACUCUUGAAUUAUCAAAUAACUGUAAAUUACAGUACACUUACGUGUUCUUUUUCUUUCAGUAUUUUUUGCAUUUGACAAAGAAUGAUAACUGCAUCAAUGCACAAGAAUGGGUUAAAGGACUAACAGUGUUUCUUCGAGGGACUUGAAGAAAAACUGAAAUUCUGUUUUGAAGUUUAUUACUUGAAUGGUAAUGGCUGUAUUUCUCCAGAGGAAAUAUUUGACAUGUUGAAGAAUAGUCUACACCAAUUGUCAUCUGAAGAAGAAACUGAUGAAGGAGUAAAAGAGUUAGUAGAUUAACUCUGAAGAAAAUGACUUUGAAAAAGCAGCAGAAGAGGAGAGACUUGGUGGUGGUGUUUGGACCAUGUUUACCAGAAGCAAAGGUAGUGUCAACAGCCCAAAGUAGUUGAGGAAAAAUUUUAAAGGAUCAGAAAGUAAUACUUGCUAAAUGUUCACCUCUGUAGGACUUCAGCCCACUGCUGAAGUUCAGGUACCCAUGAAGGGCUCAGCCCCUUCCGAGUAUUUUAGGACCCAAGACAGUAGAGACUAUUUAAGUAAUUAUAUUCAAUAAGCUUUUUGAGCUUGUAACCUUAGAUGUAUGUACACAAUUCCUGAUUUCCUGUAUGUUAAUGUUAUUUUCCCAAUGAAAACCAGGUAUA